CCAAAUGGCACACCACCUUCAGAUAUUACACCAUUGAGAGCAGCCACAAUGGUGUCACAGAAUUAAUGGAUGAUAGUUUGAAAACGUCUGCUUUUUGAAUGGACCAGAGUAAUUUUAUAAAUAUACUCAGUUUUAAAAAUAGUUUUAAGUACAUAUCAAAUUUUAAUAUGAAAUCAAAAGCAUAAGCAUUGAGAAAUAUAUUGUCUACUCAUCUGUUAAUGUAACAAAAAUGUAUAGAGAGCAUCUUGACUUCAUAUUCUUUGCUUUUACAUUAGUUUACAAAGAUGAUAUUUCUCAAGUUGUUGAACGUCUUUGAUCUUCUAUUUUGAUGACAUUUUUACCAUCAACUAUGAAACUGUUAUUCAGUUUUCUUAUGCUGUUACUAAUCAAACAACCUCAAGAAUUGAAAAG
This 411-nucleotide long non-coding RNA is filed under the name Mytilus galloprovincialis (Mediterranean mussel). The record is from RNAcentral. Lineage: Eukaryota; Metazoa; Mollusca; Bivalvia; Mytilida; Mytilidae.